AGUGAACGCUGGCGGUAGGCCUAACACAUGCAAGUCGAACGGCAGCACAGUAAGAGCUUGCUCUUACGGGUGGCGAGUGGCGGACGGGUGAGGAAUACAUCGGAAUCUACUUUUUCGUGGGGGAUAACGUAGGGAAACUUACGCUAAUACCGCAUACGACCUACGGGUUAAAGCAGGGGAUCUUCGGGCCUUGCGCGAUUGAAUGAGCCGAUGUCGGAUUAGCUAGUUGGCGGGGUAAAGGCCCACCAAGGCGACGAUCCGUAGCUGGUCUGAGAGGAUGAUCAGCCACACUGGAACUGAGACACGGUCCAGACUCCUACGGGAGGCAGCAGUGGGGAAUAUUGGACAAUGGGCGCAAGCCUGAUCCAGCCAUACCGCGUGGGUGAAGAAGGCCUUCGGGUUGUAAAGCCCUUUUGUUGGGAAAGAAAAGCAGCAGGUUAAUACCCCGCUGUUCUGACGGUACCCAAAGAAUAAGCACCGGCUAACUUCGUG
This 492-nucleotide ribosomal RNA is filed under the name uncultured bacterium. RNAcentral's name for it is "partial 16S ribosomal RNA". It matches the Rfam family "Bacterial small subunit ribosomal RNA", at positions 29 to 507 of the family's 1533-position model. The record is from RNAcentral.